AUCCUGUCAGCGAGGGGCCGUGCCAGCGCUGGAGCCUGCCGGCGGCUGGUGACAUUUAUUUUCGAAAUGCUGCGCUUAAGUUUGGUUUCUUAAUGUCAUAAUAGCAACAGCUCCACAUCUCGCGCUGCUCCUGAAGCGCAGGGUUGGUCUGUGCGCUGGUCCUGCUGGCACCUCCCUGGAGAAGCCCAAGUACAGCAUGAGAGAUAAGCGACAGGCCUCAACCAGUCUGGGAAAAAAAUAUUCCAUUAAAAUGGGGGGGAAAAAAGGGUGAGGAGGGGCUGCAUCUCUACCCAAAAAUCUCUAAGCUUGGCAGCCCAGCGGCGGCUAUUGGACAGAAUUCCACCUUUCUCCUCCCCCCCAUGUGCAGGCCUGCAGCUGGGUGUCCAUAAGAAGCACUGCACCUCAUCCAAAGACCCCCAAACCUUCAGAGAACGAACACUGAGGUAUAAUGGAGUCAGAGCCACAUGCAGCUGUGGGGCCCUGAUGUUCUCCCCACUGGCACGCAAACUCUUUGUGACCAUUUUGGAAGCAGAAGCACAGCAGAAGACAAUCCUCAGAAGCUGGUGACAUUCUUAACUCCAGACAUCACGAGGCUCAGCUGCACUGCUGCAAUCCCAGCGACCUUCAUCUCUCUACAGAGAGAACUGUGCUUGAAAGCUUUAAGUAAAAAAGCUGAUCGCUGAUUGCCAGCAGAGACGUGGUCUAGCACUUUUCCUUGUGUAAGCUUGGAGCAACUCCAGUGUGCUUGUAGAUUUGCUCUACUGAACAAACAAACAAAAAAAAAAAACAGUCUGACUAAUACUGUCAAUCCUAAAAUCCAAAUUUAGUUCCUAAAACCCCAUUAUGUUUGUUUAAAAAUAUUUGAGCUGUGCUGAUGUGGUCAGCAGCGCUGUUUGUCUGCAUACUGUCUCUCUGAUCCCCAGUUUCCCUUUACUGCUAACAAAAUGCAUUCAAAUCCCCAGGAAGAAGCACAUUAAUACUGCCGCAUCCUUCUUGAUCAAACUUUCCGGACAGCUCAGCAUUUUCUGACUGAAAACACACGGUUGGGAGUGUUUCAUGGGAAUGAGCUGAAAGUUAGGGAACACUGACCUCUUCUGGGUGAUUCUAGAAAAGGCAGGAGAGCAUGCUCAGCCUUUUAUGGUUGGUUGCAUACAGCAGCCCUCAGUGCAGUUGUAAACCUCGCUGAAAUCUUUGUUAUUUGACUUUACAGCAGUAGCAUAUGGCAAAAAGCCAACAAUUAGCAGUUUACAGAAGGUAAUCAGUUUUAAUAGUCGCAGUAGGCUGUGAUCAUGGCCAAGAGCAGCCUUAAGGAUUUGUGAGAGUAAACUCUGGAUAUUUUGAGAC
Long non-coding RNA from Numida meleagris (helmeted guineafowl), 1344 nucleotides. RefSeq lists it as uncharacterized. The record is from RefSeq and is a predicted model, not a curated record. Lineage: Eukaryota; Metazoa; Chordata; Aves; Galliformes; Numididae. The transcript is spliced from 2 exons.